RNAcentral lists this unclassified non-coding RNA (305 nucleotides) under plant metagenome. RNAcentral describes it as "partial contains 5.8S ribosomal RNA, internal transcribed spacer 2, and large subunit ribosomal RNA". The stretch from base 1 to 105 matches the Rfam family "5.8S ribosomal RNA", at positions 50 to 154 of the family's 154-position model. The record is from RNAcentral.
GAAAUGCGAUAAGUAAUGUGAAUUGCAGAAUUCAGUGAAUCAUCGAAUCUUUGAACACACAUUGCGCCCGCCAGUAUUCUGGCGGGCAUGUCUGUUCGAGCGUCAUUUCAACCAUCAAGCCCCCGGCUUGUGUUGGGGACCUGCGGCUGCCCGCAGGCCCUGAAAAACAGUGGCGGGCUCGCUGUCACACCGAGCGUAGUAGCAUACAUUCUCGCUCAGGGCGUGCUGCGGGUUCCGGCCGUUAAACGACCUUCAUAACCCAAGGUUGACCUCGGAUCAGGUAGGAAGACCCGCUGAACUUAAGC